This 351-nucleotide ribosomal RNA is filed under the name Rondeletia loricata (redmouth whalefish). Its description in RNAcentral is "partial 12S ribosomal RNA". It matches the Rfam family "Bacterial small subunit ribosomal RNA", at positions 805 to 1360 of the family's 1533-position model. Lineage: Eukaryota; Metazoa; Chordata; Actinopteri; Beryciformes; Rondeletiidae. The record is from RNAcentral.
AACAUUGAUAACAUUUUACCCCGUUAUCCGCCCGGGAACUACGACAANNNNCUUAAAACCCAAAGGACUUGGCGGUGCUUUAGACCCACCUAGAGGAGCCUGUUCUAGAACCGAUAACCCCCGUUCAACCUCACCCCCCCUUGUUUUUACCGCCUAUAUACCACCGUCGUCAGCUUACCCUGUGAAGGCCUUAUAGUAAGCAAGAUGUCNAAAACCCAAAACGUCAGGUCGAGGUGUAGCGCAUGGGGCGGGAAGAAAUGGGCUACAUUCCCUACUACAGGGAAUACGAACGGUGUANNNNNAUAUAGGCCCGAAGGAGGAUUUAGCAGUAAGUGGNANAUAGAGCGUUCA